Long non-coding RNA from Ruditapes philippinarum (Manila clam), 3022 nucleotides. RefSeq lists it as uncharacterized. NCBI's taxonomy places the organism in Eukaryota, Metazoa, Mollusca, Bivalvia, Venerida, Veneridae. The transcript is spliced from 3 exons. The record is from RefSeq and is a predicted model, not a curated record.
AAGUUACAGCCAAUAACAGCAUGAACAAGCAAAAAUUGGACUUUUUACCUUGAAGGUCAAGGUCAUUUAUGGAUGAAGGUCAAGGUUAGUGUGGUCUACUAAAAGGUCUUGUCCCAAGGGUUGUUGUGGCCAAGUAUGAAGACAAUACACCAAGAAAUAAAAAAGUUAUGAUCCAGGUACAAGUUUUCGGACGGCAACGGCAACGCCGACCUGACUAUAACAAUACCUCUACUUUUUUUUCAAAAAAAAAAAAGUCGAGCUAAAAAAACCAAGGAAAUAAAGAACCGUGGUGAGUCAAUGGUGAUACAGAAGGGAGACUCGAACCUGAUCGCCACAGUGGGGAAAGACAAGCGCCUGGUACACCAUCUUUCCACACUGAAUCAGCCCCAGGACAUUCAACCUGCACAUAGAAGAGUUGGUUCAACUGUCCUCCAGCUGCGUCAGCCCACCUCAGUGAAAAGCUACAACAAGUUCAUGGGUGGUGUAUAUCAACAUGAUCAACUUCGUAUGAACUACACCGUCAUCCUUCAUGGACUUUGAUUACAUACCAUAUUUAUCACUAUGUUGUGACAUGCAUUAUUAAAUACUUUUCAUUUUAGAUAAAUGUACCCAUUCUUGUUGAAAGUAAACAACAUAAAAAUAGUUACUGACAGGGGCUUGCUCAUAUUCAUAUAUUUUGUAUCUGAAAUAAUUUGAAUGAACAUUAAGAAGUAGGAGGUUAGCUAAUAUGGGAAGGGAGAGGUCAAAAUAUUUUGAUAUUCAAUUUAUUUUGUAAUAUAAUUUUUAAUGUGAAAAAAAAAUUAAGAUAUAGAUUUAAUACAUGCUGUUAUGUUGUUAUGACAUACCGGUAGACAAAUGUCAAUGUUUCAUUUUACAAAUAUGUGUGUGUAUUAUGGUAUUCUUGAACAGAUUUUCUAGAAGAUCAAGAAAAUUUGCAGCAACACAUAAAUGCCUGAAGGAAAGAAAGGCCUGAUGACUGCUUCUACUUUAAACCUAGGUAAUACAUUAUCAUUUAAUUUAAUUCUUACAUAACAAUUCCUUGGCUGAACUAUUAAUUACCAUUACAUGCAUUCUUGUGAAAAAUACACUUGUCUUGUUUCAUUUACUGUCCUACCUUUAUUAAGUAUGUUUCUUGCACAGAGAUUAAUGACUUUAAUUCAUUUUGUGGCAUUAUGAUAUAAGUCAUAAAUAUUUUUAUUUGGAUGUUAGUUUCCUACAGCCCUUAAGCAGAAAGCAUGGACAGUGCUGUGGAAGAUUUCAUUUUUGGUUCACCAAACUGCAUGGCAAAGGAGACUUUUAUCUAUUUAUGGAAAUGAAAUUUGCCUGCUUGAUGCCACAUAUUGCGUUUGUAAAUGUGAUGUGACUUUAUUCUUCAUCUGUGUUAGUAACAAUGAAGGAUAUAUCACUGUUGGAUGCUUUCUGUUGCCUUAUGAAACAGUGAAGAACAUAAGUCAAGGGUUGCACAUACUGAGACACUGGAACCAGGAUUGGUCUCCAACAGUUUUUAUGACUGAUUAUGAUCAGAAGGAGAUAUCUGCUAUAGAGAACACUUUUCCUGGUAAUAUUUUCAGAAUCUCAUUACUUGUUUGAAUUCUAAUAAUUACAAUAUUUCAAUUUGCUUUAAUGAACAUAUAAAAUAUGGAAACCUUUUAUGGUUAACCAUUGAAGUAGUGUCAACAGUAUAUUUUCAUGCCAGCGCAGCAUCUGUGAUGCAGUGUCAUGUAGCAAUUCACCUGUGUGCAUGCCAAUGUGUGUUUGUGUUACAUAGAUUAAACAGUGAACUUAAAAAAUCACUUUUGUUUGUAAAAAUCCCGGUUUGGUUUCAAACCGGUUUGUUAAACAGUUUGUUUGUUUGGAAGUUCAUAAACUUCAUGAAUACAUUUUGCAGGGACAAAGUACGAGUUUGGGAAAGAGGUUGUCGAGGAUCUGCAUCCUUGGAUUUUGUAGACUCUUGUAGAUUGGAACAACGUUGAUUCUGUCAUUUGCAAAUAAAGGCAAGUAUUAAACAUUAAGUAAAUUUCUCAGUAUUACCAUUCCAAAUUCCGAACUUUUUGGAUAGUCCCACAGGUGUUCCGUUUUCAGAAGUUAUUACAUACAUUUCCUAACGGAAUGUUCAAUUUUGUAUAAUAACAAAAUAUUUUUAAUUUUUGAUAUUUUUAAUUUCAAAUUAGGUAUCUCCCACAAAGUUCAGAUGUGAAGGAACUCUAGCUGUCAGAUACCUAGCGCUUAAAGAUGAGACCGGGUUUGCUAAGGUUGAAGUCUUUGACAAGGCUGCAUAGGCUGCCUACAAACUCAAUGCCGCAAUAGAAGUUACGGCAGUGUACACCAAAACCUGGAAGAAUCAACCAAAGUUGAAUUUCUCCAAGAGUUCUGAUUUUCAGUUUUAUACGUUCAUCUGAUGUACCAGUUGAAGUAACUGAUGCUGACAAAGAGCACUUUGCUAAAGAUGGAGACUUUUGCAUGGAAACAAAAGAGGACAUCAAGACAUUAGUCUUAAAUAGCAUAUAUGAAGUGACAUCAUAUGAUGCAUGUUCAAAUGAAGGUCAUGAUAUUUCUUUUCAGCCUGCCAUAAGAAGAAGCUUGUUGAUGGGAUUUGUCCAACAUGUCAAGGUGACAUGCAUACAUGGACUUAUAAAGCGAAAGUCUGCAUAACGGGGGAAGAUCUUUCGAAAGAAGUAGUAUUGUUCCAGAACAAUCUUGAAAAAUUGUUUGGUACAGCCGAGGAAAGAUCAGAUAAUCUAUUGAUUUGUUUCCGAGCCAGAAACUUUUAACAUAGGAGAUGAAGUCGGAAGAUGGAACGAUCUGAAAGCAGCGAUAGGGGCAGAAAACAACUGCAUUAUUGCAAAGUUCCUGUUAAGUGAAGGGGAUUUCUCAAAAGUAAUUUAUAUUGAUAUCAUUUUGUCUAAUUUGCCAGUAGCGUAAUUGUUUUCGUUAUUGUGCAACUGCGUAAUAUUCAAUGAACACAAGUCAUUAGCAAAACAAAAAUCAGAUUUCACUCGCUAUGAAAGGAUGCAAAGAAGGG